UGGGGAAUCAUUCGCAAUGGGCGAAAGCCUGACGGUGCGACGCCGCGUGGAGGAUGAAGGCCCUAGGGUCGUAAACUCCUGUCAUCAGGGAGUAAUGGCUCAUAUAGUAACUGAUAUGGGUCUUGAUAGUACCUGAAGAGGAAGGGACGGCAAACUUCGUGCCAGCAGCCGCGGUAAUACGAAGGUCCCAAGCGUUGUUCGGAUUUACUGGGCGUAAAGAGUCUGUAGGCGGUGGGGUAAGUCAGAUGUGAAAUCCCGGGGCUCAACCCCGGAACUGCAUCCGAUACUGCCUUACUUGAGGGUCGGAGGGGAGUCUGGAAUUCUCGGUGUAGCAGUGAAAUGCGUAGAUAUCGAGAGGAACACUAGUGGCGAAGGCGAGACUCUGGACGACAACUGACGCUGAGAGACGAAGGCCAGGGGAGCGAAAAGGAUUAGAUACCCCCGUAGUCCCUGAGCGGGCUGGCAAGGCGCAU
Molecule: ribosomal RNA, 473 nt
Filed under: uncultured bacterium
Lineage: Bacteria
Description: bacterial SSU rRNA
Rfam family: Bacterial small subunit ribosomal RNA
Source: RNAcentral